CCUACGGGAGGCAGCAGUGAGGAAUAUUGGUCAAUGGGCGCGAGCCUGAACCAGCCAAGUAGCGUGAAGGAUGACUGCCCUACGGGUUGUAAACUUCUUUUAUCAAGGAAUAAAGUGAGGCACGUGUGCCUUUUUGUAUGUACUUUAUGAAUAAGGAUCGGCUAACUCCGUGCCAGCAGCCGCGGUAAUACGGAGGAUCCGAGCGUUAUCCGGAUUUAUUGGGUUUAAAGGGAGCGUAGAUGGGAUGUUAAGUCAGGUGGGAAAGUUUGCGGCUCAACCGUAAAAUUGCAAUUGAAACUGGCAGUCUUGAGUGCAGGUGAGGUAGGCGGAAUGCGUGGUGUAGCGGUGAAAUGCUUAGAUAUCACGAAGAACUCCGAUUGCGAAGGCAGCUUACUAGACUGCAACUGACAUUGAUGCUCGAAAGUGUGGGUAUCAAACAGGAUUAGAUACCCGAGUAGUC
RNAcentral lists this ribosomal RNA (460 nucleotides) under uncultured bacterium. RNAcentral describes it as "partial 16S ribosomal RNA". It matches the Rfam family "Bacterial small subunit ribosomal RNA", at positions 338 to 795 of the family's 1533-position model. The record is from RNAcentral.